Molecule: non-coding RNA, 23 nt
Filed under: Arabidopsis thaliana (thale cress)
Lineage: Eukaryota; Viridiplantae; Streptophyta; Magnoliopsida; Brassicales; Brassicaceae
Source: RNAcentral
AACUGUUUUAAGUGCAAAGGCUG